This 321-nucleotide long non-coding RNA is filed under the name Homo sapiens (human). RNAcentral's name for it is "HSALNT0408263". The record is from RNAcentral. Lineage: Eukaryota; Metazoa; Chordata; Mammalia; Primates; Hominidae.
AAUCUUGAUUUCAUUUGAAGUGAUAAUGCACCCAGAACAAAGAAUGCUACCAGUCUCCUUUGAAGCUAUGUUUGGCCAUAUGACUAAGUUCAGGCUUAUGACGUCAAGGACGAUAGGCCUGAGUGUGAAGUUAAGAGAAUGGAAGAGAAGAUAGACAAUGGAAUGCCAAUCUCAAAACAAAUCAUUGAAAAUUGAGAUGAAAAUGCCAAAUGUCUGCAUUCAUAUAAUGGAAAUAAUCGAGCUGUGGACAAUCAUCUAUGCUUUUGAUCAUUCUGGGAUUAGAGGAAUUCCUUACACUUAUGGAAUUCAACUGUGUCAAAA